GCAGUCGUGACCGAGUGGUUAAGGCAAUGACUAGAAAUCAAUUGGGGUCUCCCCGCACAGGUUCAAAUCCUGUCAACUGUG
Molecule: transfer RNA, 81 nt
Filed under: Ixodes scapularis (black-legged tick)
Lineage: Eukaryota; Metazoa; Arthropoda; Arachnida; Ixodida; Ixodidae
Rfam family: tRNA
About the family: Transfer RNA (tRNA) molecules are approximately 80 nucleotides in length. Their secondary structure includes four short double-helical elements and three loops (D, anti-codon, and T loops).
Source: Rfam by way of RNAcentral